RNAcentral lists this ribosomal RNA (255 nucleotides) under uncultured bacterium. Its description in RNAcentral is "partial 16S ribosomal RNA". It matches the Rfam family "Bacterial small subunit ribosomal RNA", at positions 524 to 776 of the family's 1533-position model. The record is from RNAcentral.
CACGUAGGGCGCGAGCGUUUGUCCGGAAUUAUUGGGCGUAAAGAGCUCGUAGGCGGCCUGUUGCGUCCGCUGUGAAAGCCCCGGGGCUUAACCCCGGGUCUGCAGUGGAUACGGGCAGGCUAGAGGUAGGUAGGGGAGAAUGGAAUUCCCGGUGUAGCGGUGAAAUGCGCAGAUAUCGGGAGGAACACCGGUGGCGAAGGCGGUUCUCUGGGCCUUACCUGACGCUGAGGAGCGAAAGCGUGGGGAGCGAACAGG